This is a long non-coding RNA of Microplitis demolitor, 473 nucleotides long. RefSeq lists it as uncharacterized. NCBI's taxonomy places the organism in Eukaryota, Metazoa, Arthropoda, Insecta, Hymenoptera, Braconidae. The transcript is spliced from 4 exons. The record is from RefSeq and is a predicted model, not a curated record.
GCAAUUUUUAAACACUCUCUCAAUUACGUUGCCCAAUUCAUUUUUUCAUCAAACCUAAACAAUUAAAAUAUAAUUAAUUAUACUCAUUUUUUUCGAAUAAAAAAUUUCCAAUCAUAAACAUCAAAUGACAACAGACCUCUCGGACUUAAUUUCGUCAUCUGGCUCAGCAAACUGACCCCAAGCAGCCGGCAGUAAAUCUGUAGUCAAGAUUAAUUCGCUGAUUCCGCUGGAAACUAAAAGUGAAAAUGAAUCUCGUCAGGGAGACGAGUUAAUUAGUCAAUAAUCUUGUUUCAUCUCAUCUGCCUGGUAUACUUAAGUAUUUAUGCCAAGACCGGGACACGAUGGCCCCCUAAGUCGAUAUUUAAUUUCCGUUCCUUUUGCACACUGGGUACAACACGUUGGAGCUCCUUCAAAAAAUUUUUUUAAAAUUUUUUAGGCGUCGGUUGUGCCCCGGGUAUCUUGCAACGCUUUGA